Molecule: long non-coding RNA, 751 nt
Organism: Athalia rosae (coleseed sawfly)
Lineage: Eukaryota; Metazoa; Arthropoda; Insecta; Hymenoptera; Athaliidae
Exons: 2
Source: RefSeq, a predicted model, not a curated record
GAAAAUCUGGUGAAAAUGAAAAAAAAAGAAUUCCCGAAUCCCUCGGAUUUUCUAUCGGGAAAAUCAAUGAUAAUUCGAGUUCCUUAUUGUGCAGGUAAACUCCGCGGUAUAUUUGAUCAGGCGAUUAAGGACACUCGUGGAAAGUAUGAGUACACAUGACGCGCGGAAACGAGGACGCGAUAUUUUGCGUUGGAUAACAUUACCGCGAAAAAUCAAUUCGCGAUGAAAAUACAAUUUUACACAUCUGCACCUCCGGCGAACGAGUAUUAUUUCGAUUGAAUGGGGGGACGAUCUUAAAAGUCCUUUUUCAAAAAUAUGGGUCGACUGUGCUGCAAACCUGUGCAUACUAUUCGCUGAUAUGAUCAGUGACGUUUCACCGCGAUGAGGCGACCGUUUAAUGGAUUUUCCGAGAAGUGCGAUUUAUAGACGCCCACGAUAAUUUCCUUCUCUUUAAUUAACCGGAAAUUACGCAUUCCAACAUACUGUACAUGUCAAUCGGUAUGUACAGUGUAGAGAUAUUCUGAUACACUGAGAGUGAAUUCGUUAAAUACGAAAAUUACAUGUGCGGGACAGCGUUGCGGUAUAAACGUCACGGUACUCCUCAUAAAGUAACAGCUCAGAGUUUUUAUAGGCCUACAAUCCAUUCCACUACCGUGCGAAAUGUACAAAGUACCCGCCUCUGCAAGGUGCCCUUAACGCGGGUCUAAGUGCGCUGUAAAAAACGAAUCGAAAAAACCGAAACGAGCAAGUA